UCAUAUAAGACGAGAAGACCCCAUGGAGCUUCAAACCCAACUACACCCCUAGCUCUUAUAGCCCCACAACCCCCCUAGGCACCGUGUGCUUGGUUUUAGGUUGGGGCGACCGCGGAGUACAAUAAAACCUCCACAAUGAAUGGGAACACCCCCUUAUCUGAGGGCCACACCCCCUAAGAAUUAGAACACUAACAUAAAAUGAUCCAUUACUUGAUCAAUGAACCAAGUUACCCUGGGGAUAACAGCGCAAUCCAUUUCAAGAGCCCCUAUCGACAAAU
RNAcentral lists this ribosomal RNA (278 nucleotides) under Mantidactylus melanopleura. Its description in RNAcentral is "partial 16S ribosomal RNA". It matches the Rfam family "Bacterial large subunit ribosomal RNA", at positions 2076 to 2513 of the family's 2925-position model. Lineage: Eukaryota; Metazoa; Chordata; Amphibia; Anura; Mantellidae. The record is from RNAcentral.